RNAcentral lists this ribosomal RNA (500 nucleotides) under uncultured bacterium. Its description in RNAcentral is "partial 16S ribosomal RNA". It matches the Rfam family "Bacterial small subunit ribosomal RNA", at positions 30 to 523 of the family's 1533-position model. The record is from RNAcentral.
AUUGAACGCUGGCGGAAUGCUUUACACAUGCAAGUCGAACGGCAGCACGGACUUCGGUCUGGUGGCGAGUGGCGAACGGGUGAGUAAUACAUCGGAACGUACCCAGUCGUGGGGGAUAACGUAGCGAAAGCUACGCUAAUACCGCAUACGAUCUACGGAUGAAAGCGGGGGAUCGCAAGACCUCGCGCGAUUUGAGCGGCCGAUGGCAGAUUAGGUAGUUGGUAGGGUAAAGGCCUACCAAGCCGACGAUCUGUAGCUGGUCUGAGAGGAUGAUCAGCCACACUGGGACUGAGACACGGCCCAGACUCCUACGGGAGGCAGCAGUGGGGAAUUUUGGACAAUGGACGCAAGUCUGAUCCAGCCAUUCCGCGUGCAGGAUGAAGGCCCUCGGGUUGUAAACUGCUUUUGUACAGAACGAAAAGGCUCUGGUUAAUACCUGGGGCUCAUGACGGUACUGUAAGAAUAAGCACCGGCUAACUACGUGCCAGCCGCCGCGGUAA